This is a non-coding RNA of Camelus ferus (Wild Bactrian camel), 315 nucleotides long. The record is from Rfam. NCBI's taxonomy places the organism in Eukaryota, Metazoa, Chordata, Mammalia, Artiodactyla, Camelidae.
GGAUGUGAGGGCAACCUGGCUGCGACGUCUGUCACCCCAUCGAUCACCAGGGUUGAUUUGGCUGAUCUGGCUGGCUGAACGAGUGUCCCCGUCCUCCCUCACUGCUCCGUGUGCAUCCCUCCCCGGGCUGCGCACUCGGUCAAACAGGACGACCUUCCCUGAUAGAGGAGACCGGUUCUUCCGUCUGCGCUCCCCUGCUAGAACCUCCAAACAAACUCCCAGGGGCUACGGCAGAGGCCAGCCUGGGCUGAGCGCAGCAUAAAAGGAAACGGCUUGUGUUUUUGAAGUAGCCUCCAGGGAAGAGCCUGUUUGAAC